UUGUGGUUAAAAAGCUCGUAGUUGGAUCUCGGCGGUCUGAGGGCGGUACGCUUGAUUGAGUGCUACUGCUCUAUAGGCCGUGGUUUUGCCAGAGGUCUCGGGGUGCUCUUAACCGAGUGUCCUGCGAUGCUGGCAGGUUUACUUUGAAAAAAUUAGAGUGCUCAAAGCAGGCUUUUACGCCUGAAUAUUCGUGCAUGGAAUAAUAGAAUAGGAAGUCGUUUCUAUUUUGUUGGUUUUCGGAAAUCGACUUAAUGAUUAAUAGGGACAGUCGGGGGCAUUUGUAUUCAAACGACAGAGGUGAAAUUCUUGGACCGUUUGAAGACAAACUACUGCGAAAGCAUUUGCCAAGAAUGUUUUCAUUAAUCAAGAACGAAAGUUAGAGGUUCGAAGGCGAUUAGAUACCGCCCUAGUUCUAACCAUAAACGAUGCCAGCUAGCGAUCUGCCGACGUUUUCUUUGUAGACUCGGCAGGAAGCUUCCGGGAAACCAAAGCAUUUGGGUUCCAGGGGAAGUAUGGUUGCAAAGCUGAAACUUAAAGGAAUUGACGGAAGGGCACCACCAGGAGUGGAGCCUGUGGCUUAAUUUGACUCAACACGGGAAAUCUCACCAGGCCCGGACACUGGAAGGAUUGACAGAUGGAUAGCU
This 644-nucleotide ribosomal RNA is filed under the name uncultured marine eukaryote. RNAcentral's name for it is "SSU rRNA". It matches the Rfam family "Eukaryotic small subunit ribosomal RNA", at positions 613 to 1256 of the family's 1831-position model. The record is from RNAcentral.